AACACACACAACUUUUUUAUUUUAUCAUUAUAUAUAUAUAUAUGUAUUCAACUCCACGCAUCUAUUUUAGACAGACAGAGAGAAAGAAAAGAAUAGAGAUAGAGAGAGAAAAUAGAGGAGAAUAUUUAAAAGUCUAGGAAACUCAAAACAAGUCCUUUUGUAGCAAUAGCCAAAAAAUUAAAUUGUUUUCUGUUUUUAUAAUUUGGAUUGGGUAUUUUUUGUAGAGAGAAAAAUGUGGGAUCUAAAUGAAUCAGAAGAAGGUUGUUCUUCACCGAUAGAGUUUGAAGGCGAUGAUGAGAAAGGUAAACGGGUCGGAUCCGUUUCGAAUUCAAGUUCAUCAGCUGUAGCUGUUGAUGAUAUAUCUGAAGAGGAAUUAGAUGGAGAAAGAGGGAAGAAAAAGAGAGGUAAAAUUUUCGGCUUCUCUAUGGUGGGUCUGGGUAACGGCGAUGAAGAACAGCCGGUGACCCGACAGUUUUUUCCGGUUGAUGAGUCGGAAAUGGGUGGUGUUGCUGCUGAAAAUGGAUCCCCGAAUUUUCCCAGAGCUCACUGGGUUGGAGUUAAAUUUUACCAAACGGAGACACUUGGCAACACGGGAUUGGCCAGGCCUGUAGAUAUGGUUCAGCAGCAACAGCAGCCUAUUAAGAAGAGCCGCCGUGGACCAAGGUCUAGAAGCUCACAGUACCGUGGGGUUACCUUCUACCGGAGAACUGGCCGGUGGGAAUCUCAUAUA
This 730-nucleotide unclassified non-coding RNA is filed under the name Hevea brasiliensis (rubber tree). The record is from RNAcentral. Lineage: Eukaryota; Viridiplantae; Streptophyta; Magnoliopsida; Malpighiales; Euphorbiaceae.